ACGGAGCGGCGAACGGCUCAGUAAGACAGAUGGAUCUGACCACUAAGAAGGAUAACCACGGGAAACUGAGGCUAAUACUAUAUUGGGUGAACAUCUGACCUAUCAGCUUGUCGGUAUGGUAAUUGCAUACCGUGGCUACAACGGGUAACGGGGAAUCGGGGUUUGAUUCCGGAGAGGGAGCCUGAGAGAUGGCUGCCACGUCCAAGGACGGCAGCAGGCGCGAAACUUACCCACUUGGAGGACCAGAGGUAGUGACGAGGCGUAUAAAUGAAUUUACAGUAAACAAGUAAAUGAAAGCGACUGGAGGGCAAGUCUGGUGCCAGC
Molecule: ribosomal RNA, 324 nt
Filed under: Microsporidium sp. group A
Lineage: Eukaryota; Fungi; Microsporidia
Description: SSU rRNA
Rfam family: Microsporidia small subunit ribosomal RNA
Source: RNAcentral